RNAcentral lists this ribosomal RNA (619 nucleotides) under uncultured bacterium. RNAcentral's name for it is "bacterial SSU rRNA". It matches the Rfam family "Bacterial small subunit ribosomal RNA", at positions 56 to 676 of the family's 1533-position model. The record is from RNAcentral.
UGCAGUCGAACGGCAGCGCGGGGCAACCUGGCGGCGAGUGGCGAACGGGUGAGUAAUAUAUCGGAACGUACCCAAGAGUGGGGGAUAACGUAGCGAAAGUUACGCUAAUACCGCAUACGAUCUAAGGAUGAAAGUGGGGGAUCGCAAGACCUCAUGCUCCUGGAGCGGCCGAUAUCUGAUUAGCUAGUUGGUAGGGUAAUGGCCUACCAAGGCGACGAUCAGUAGCUGGUCUGAGAGGACGACCAGCCACACUGGGACUGAGACACGGCCCAGACUCCUACGGGAGGCAGCAGUGGGGAAUUUUGGACAAUGGGGGCAACCCUGAUCCAGCAAUGCCGCGUGUGUGAAGAAGGCCUUCGGGUUGUAAAGCACUAUUGUCCGGAAAGAAAACGCCCGGGUUAAUACCCUGGGCGGAUGACGGUACCGGAAGAAUAAGCACCGGCUAACUACGUGCCAGCAGCCGCGGUAAUACGUAGGGUGCAAGCGUUAAUCGGAAUUACUGGGCGUAAAGCGUGCGCAGGCGGUCUGUUAAGACCGAUGUGAAAUCCCCGGGCUUAACCUGGGAACUGCAUUGGUGACUGGCAGCUUUAGUGUGGCAAGGAGGUAGAAUUCCACGUGU